GAGCAAAGGGGCCGGAUAAAGUGCCGAUCUUUGCAUUGAAGGUUGGCGGCCGCGAUUGCAGUUCUCCAUGCCGCUCAGAUUUUCCUAUGUUUUGUGACGGCCUCGAACAAGCUGCUACAUC
This is a small nucleolar RNA of Oryza sativa (Asian cultivated rice), 121 nucleotides long. The record is from Rfam. NCBI's taxonomy places the organism in Eukaryota, Viridiplantae, Streptophyta, Magnoliopsida, Poales, Poaceae.